GUCUGCAUGGCUCAGUUGGUUAGAGCGCCGGUCUCAUAAUCCGGAGAUCGCCAGUUCGAUCCUGGCUGCGGACA
Molecule: transfer RNA, 74 nt
Filed under: Schizophyllum commune H4-8
Lineage: Eukaryota; Fungi; Basidiomycota; Agaricomycetes; Agaricales; Schizophyllaceae
Description: tRNA-Met (CAT) (tRNA-Met-CAT-1 1 to 5)
Rfam family: tRNA
About the family: Transfer RNA (tRNA) molecules are approximately 80 nucleotides in length. Their secondary structure includes four short double-helical elements and three loops (D, anti-codon, and T loops).
Source: RNAcentral